AUUUAUUUAAUUUUAUUAAUAAUUUUUAAUUAAUAAUUCUUUAUAAUAUUUAUUUUAUAUAUUUCUUUUUUUUAUAGGGUUAAUAAUAUUUCUAUUUUAUCCAAAUAUUAACAAAAUUAGUUACGACACGUGUCAACAUCUUAUCGUUUAUAAUUGACACGUGUCACGAUCUUGUUAAUGGCUGACUUUGAAAACCAAGGUUUAUAUAAUAAGAUUUCUAUUUUAACUAAAUAUUAACAAAAUUAAAAUUGACAUGUGUCAACAUCUUAUCGUUUAUAAUUGACACAUGUCACGAUUUUGUUAAUGGCUGACUUUGAAAACCAAGGUUUAUAUAAUAAGAU
Molecule: long non-coding RNA, 341 nt
Filed under: Capsella rubella
Lineage: Eukaryota; Viridiplantae; Streptophyta; Magnoliopsida; Brassicales; Brassicaceae
Description: long non-coding RNA (CRUB_LNC000839)
Source: RNAcentral